AUGGCCGCCGCGUCGUUCGCGCUCGCGCUUGUGCUCUACCUCGGCCUCGACCUCCCCGAGGCGUCGCCGUCGCAGUCCUAUGCCGCCGACCCGGACACCGCUGUCGAGAUUUCCUACGGAUCAGUGAUCAAGUUGAUGCAUGAGAGGACCAAGUUUCGGCUGCAUUCCCACGACGUGCCGUAUGGAUCUGGUAGCGGCCAGCAAUCGGUCACCAGCUUCCCCAAUGUGGAUGACGCUAACAGCUACUGGAUUGUGAGACCUCAACCGGAUACUUCAGCAAAACAAGGUCAUGCUAUAACACCUGGAACAAUCGUCAGGCUUCAACAUAUGAGGACUAGAAAGUGGUUGCACAGCCAUCUGCAUGCUUCUCCCAUUACGGGGAAUCUGGAGGUUAGUUGCUUUGGUGGUGAGGGUGAGUCAGAUACAGGAGACUAUUGGAUGCUCGAGAUUGAGGGCGGUGGGAAAACAUGGCGUCAAAACCAACGAAUUCGGUUGCGCCAUGUUGACACUGGUGGCUAUCUGCACAGCCAUGACAGAAAGUAUACCCGCAUUGCAGGCGGACAGCAAGAGGUAUGCGGUGUUGGCGACAAGCGACCCGACAAUGUCUGGCUUGCAGCUGAAGGUGUCUACUUCCCCGUGAGCCAGGCCAAAUAG
Molecule: ribosomal RNA, 654 nt
Filed under: Triticum aestivum (bread wheat)
Lineage: Eukaryota; Viridiplantae; Streptophyta; Magnoliopsida; Poales; Poaceae
Description: partial small subunit ribosomal RNA
Source: RNAcentral